GAUGAACGCUAGCGGCAGGCCUAACACAUGCAAGUCGAGGGGUAGCAGGAUUAAGCUUGCUUAAUUGCUGACGACCGGCGCACGGGUGCGUAACGCGUAUGCAACCUACCUUAUACUGGGGUAUAGCCCGGAGAAAUUCGGAUUAAUCCCCCAUAGUACUAAUGAAUCGCAUGGUUUAUUAGUUAAAGCAUUGCGGUAUAAGAUGGGCAUGCGUCCUAUUAGCUAGAUGGUGAGGUAACGGCUCACCAUGGCUACGAUAGGUAGGGGGCCUGAGAGGGUGGUCCCCCACACUGGUACUGAGACACGGACAGACUCCUACGGGAGGCAGCAGUGAGGAAUAUUGGUCAAUGGGCGCAAGCCUGAACCAGCCAUGCCGCGUGCAGGAAGAAUGCCCUAUGGGUUGUAAACUGCUUUUAUUUGGGAAUGAACCUCUUUACGUGUAGAGAGCUGAAGGUACCAAAUGAAUAAGCACCGGCUAACUCCGUGCCAGCCGCCGCAGUAA
This 502-nucleotide ribosomal RNA is filed under the name uncultured bacterium. Its description in RNAcentral is "partial 16S ribosomal RNA". It matches the Rfam family "Bacterial small subunit ribosomal RNA", at positions 28 to 523 of the family's 1533-position model. The record is from RNAcentral.